AAGGCUGACCUCAAAUCAGGAGGACUACC
This 29-nucleotide ribosomal RNA is filed under the name Pisolithus tinctorius. RNAcentral describes it as "partial 28S ribosomal RNA". Lineage: Eukaryota; Fungi; Basidiomycota; Agaricomycetes; Boletales; Pisolithaceae. The record is from RNAcentral.